This 253-nucleotide ribosomal RNA is filed under the name uncultured bacterium. RNAcentral describes it as "partial 16S ribosomal RNA". It matches the Rfam family "Bacterial small subunit ribosomal RNA", at positions 524 to 776 of the family's 1533-position model. The record is from RNAcentral.
UACGUAGGGGGCAAGCGUUGUCCGGAUUUAUUGGGCGUAAAGAGCGUGUAGGCGGCCAGACAGGUCCGUUGUGAAAACUCGAGGCUCAACCUCGAGACGUCGACGGCAACCGUCUGGCUAGAGUCCGGAAGAGGAGUGUGGAAUUCCUGGUGUAGCGGUGAAAUGCGCAGAUAUCAGGAAGAACACCUAUGGCGAAGGCAGCACUCUGGGACGGUACUGACGCUGAGGUGCGAAAGCGUGGGGAGCAAACAGG